Molecule: ribosomal RNA, 425 nt
Filed under: uncultured bacterium
Lineage: Bacteria
Description: partial 16S ribosomal RNA
Rfam family: Bacterial small subunit ribosomal RNA
Source: RNAcentral
GUGGGGAAUCUUGCGCAAUGGGCGAAAGCCUGACGCAGCCAUGCCGCGUGAAUGAUGAAGGUCUUAGGAUUGUAAAAUUCUUUCACCGGGGACGAUAAUGACGGUACCCGGAGAAGAAGCCCCGGCUAACUUCGUGCCAGCAGCCGCGGUAAUACGAAGGGGGCUAGCGUUGCUCGGAAUUACUGGGCGUAAAGGGCGCGUAGGCGGACAGUUUAGUCAGAGGUGAAAGCCCAGGGCUCAAACUUGGAAUUGCCUUUGAUACUGGCUGUCUUGAGUACGGGAGAGGUGAGUGGAACUCCGAGUGUAGAGGUGAAAUUCGUAGAUAUUCGGAAGAACACCAGUGGCGAAGGCGACUCACUGGCCCGUUACUGACGCUGAGGCGCGAAAGCGUGGGGAGCAAACAGGAUUAGAAACCCGAGUAGUCC